This 280-nucleotide ribosomal RNA is filed under the name uncultured bacterium. Its description in RNAcentral is "partial 16S ribosomal RNA". It matches the Rfam family "Bacterial small subunit ribosomal RNA", at positions 361 to 633 of the family's 1533-position model. The record is from RNAcentral.
AUAUUGCACAAUGGGCGCAAGCCUGAUUCAGCCAUGCCGCGUGUGUGAAGAAGGCCUUCGGGUUGUAAAGCACUUUCAGUCAGGAGGAAAGGUUAGUAGUUAAUACCUGCUAGUUGUGACGUUACUGACAGAAGAAGCACCGCCUAACUCCGUGCCAGCAGCCGCGGUAAUACGGAGGGUGCGAGCGUUAAUCGGAAUUACUGGGCGUAAAGCGUACGCAGGCGGUUUGUUAAGCGAGAUGUGAAAGCCGCGGGCUCAACCUGGGAACUGCAUUUCGAAC